RNAcentral lists this long non-coding RNA (618 nucleotides) under Ananas comosus (pineapple). RNAcentral describes it as "long non-coding RNA (ACOM_LNC014107)". Lineage: Eukaryota; Viridiplantae; Streptophyta; Magnoliopsida; Poales; Bromeliaceae. The record is from RNAcentral.
AAUAAUAUUGUUGUAAGGGUGGGAGAAACAAAUAUAUAUAUAUAUAAGAGUGAGCUGGUAUACAUCUGGAAACACGGAGCCUUCCGUGCUUCCAAAUCGUUUUCGAUGUUAGGACUUUCGACUCGACGAUCGGCUCCGUUAAACUUGAUCUAAAGUAUUUGAAGUAACUAGAAAAUAAAUUUUGUAAUUUUUUAAUAUCAUUUGCCUAGUGAUCGAAGGGGCUCAAAAUCAAUAAUUUUAAAGAUCGUGGUGAGCCGUUUGCAAAUUUAACGGAGUAGAAAUAUUCAAAUCAUAUAAAAUUUUGAUAAAAAAUUCUUUAUACUAUAAAAAACAAGGUCAAUAUUUUUUAUCUAAAAUUUUAAUGUCAUAUUCUCAUAUUUUUUAAGAUUUUUAUUUUCAGCCGUUGAUUUUGAGCCACUUCGAUUACUAGGCAAAUGACAUCAAAAAAUCGCAAAAUUUAUUUUCUAGAUACUUAAAAUACUCUAGGUCAAGUCUAACGGAACUGAUCGUCGAAUCGAAAGUCCCAACAUUGAAAACGAUUUAAAAGCACGGAGCGCUCCGUGCUUCCAGAAGCAUACCAGACGCACUCUCUCUUCUCUCUCUCUAUAUAUAUAUAUA